UUAAGUGACUAAGCGUACACGGUGGAUGCCUAGGCAGUCAGAGGCGAUGAAGGGCGUGCUAAUCUGCGAAAAGCGUCGGUAAGGUGAUAUGAACCGUUAUAACCGGCGAUACCCGAAUGGGGAAACCCAGUGUGUUUCGACACAUUAUCAUGUCAUGAAUACAUAGUGGCAUGAGGCGAACCGGGGGAACUGAAACAUCUAAGUACCCCGAGGAAAAGAAAUCAACCGAGAUUCCCCCAGUAGCGGCGAGCGAACGGGGAGGAGCCCAGAACCUGAAUCGGCUUGUGUGUUAGUGGAAGCGUCUGGAAAGUCGCGCAGNAAAGGGUGAUAGCCCCGUACACUAAAAUGCACAGGUCGUGAGUUCGAUGAGUAGGGCGGGACACGUGACAUCCUGUCUGAAUAUGGGGGGACCAUCCUCCAAGGCUAAAUACUCCUGACUGACCGAUAGUGAACCAGUACCGUGAGGGAAAGGCGAAAAGAACCCCGGCGAGGGGAGUGAAAUAGAACCUGAAACCGUGUACGUACAAGCAGUGGGAGCACCUUCGUGGUGUGACUGCGUACCUUUUGUAUAAUGGGUCAGCGACUUAUAUUUUGUAGCAAGGUUAACCGUAUAGGGGAGCCGUAGGGAAACCGAGUCUUAACUGGGCGAAUAGUUGCAAGGUAUAGACCCGAAACCCGGUGAUCUAGCCAUGGGCAGGUUGAAGGUUGGGUAACACUAACUGGAGGACCGAACCGACUAAUGUUGAAAAAUUAGCGGAUGACUUGUGGCUGGGGGUGAAAGGCCAAUCAAACCGGGAGAUAGCUGGUUCUCCCCGAAAGCUAUUUAGGUAGCGCCUCGUGAACUCAUCUUCGGGGGUAGAGCACUGUUUCGGCUAGGGGGCCAUCCCGGCUUACCAAACCGAUGCAAACUCCGAAUACCGAAGAAUGUUAUCACGGGAGACACACGGCGGGUGCUAACGUCCGUCGUGAAGAGGGAAACAACCCAGACCGCCAGCUAAGGUCCCAAAGUCAUGGUUAAGUGGGAAACGAUGUGGGAAGGCAUAGACAGCCAGGAUGUUGGCUUAGAAGCAGCCAUCAUUUAAAGAAAGCGUAAUAGCUCACUGGUCGAGUCGGCCUGCGCGGAAGAUGUAACGGGGCUAAACCAUGCACCGAAGCUGCGGCAGCGACGCUUAGGCGUUGUUGGGUAGGGGAGCGUUCUGUAAGCCGUUGAAGGUGGCCUGUGAGGGUUGCUGGAGGUAUCAGAAGUGCGAAUGCUGACAUAAGUAACGAUAAAGCGGGUGAAAAGCCCGCUCGCCGGAAGACCAAGGGUUCCUGUCCAACGUUAAUCGGGGCAGGGUGAGUCGACCCCUAAGGCGAGGCUGAAAAGCGUAGUCGAUGGGAAACAGGUUAAUAUUCCUGUACUUGGUGUUACUGCGAAGGGGGGACGGAGAAGGCUAGGCUAGCCGGGCGACGGUUGUCCCGGUUUAAGCGUGUAGGGGGUGUGACCUGGUAAAUCCGGUUGCAUNGCGGAUGGAGCUGAAGCCAGUCGAAGAUACCAGCUGGCUGCAACUGUUUAAUAAAAACACAGCACUGUGCAAACACGAAAGUGGACGUAUACGGUGUGACGCCUGCCCGGUGCUGGAAGGUUAAUUGAUGGGGUCAGCCGCAAGGCGAAGCUCUUGAUCGAAGCCCCAGUAAACGGCGGCCGUAACUAUAACGGUCCUAAGGUAGCGAAAUUCCUUGUCGGGUAAGUUCCGACCUGCACGAAUGGCGUAAUGAUGGCCAGGCUGUCUCCACCCGAGACUCAGUGAAAUUGAACUCGCUGUGAAGAUGCAGUGUACCCGCGGCAAGACGGAAAGACCCCGUGAACCUUUACUAUAGCUUGACACUGAACAUUGAGCCUUGAUGUGUAGGAUAGGUGGGAGGCUUUGAAGCGUGGACGCCAGUCUGCGUGGAGCCAUCCUUGAAAUACCACCCUUUAAUGUUUGAUGUUCUAACUCGGCCCCGUNAUCCGGGGUGAGGACAGUGUCUGGUGGGUAGUUUGACUGGGGCGGUCUCCUCCCAAAGAGUAACGGAGGAGCACGAAGGUUAGCUAAUCACGGUCGGACAUCGUGAGGUUAGUGCAAAGGCAUAAGCUAGCUUGACUGCGAGAGUGACGGCUCGAGCAGGUACGAAAGUAGGUCUUAGUGAUCCGGUGGUUCUGAAUGGAAGGGCCAUCGCUCAACGGAUAAAAGGUACUCCGGGGAUAACAGGCUGAUACCGCCCAAGAGUUCAUAUCGACGGCGGUGUUUGGCACCUCGAUGUCGGCUCAUCACAUCCUGGGGCUGAAGUAGGUCCCAAGGGUAUGGCUGUUCGCCAUUUAAAGUGGUACGCGAGCUGGGUUUAGAACGUCGUGAGACAGUUCGGUCCCUAUCUGCCGUGGGCGUUGGAAGAUUGAGAGGGGUUGCUCCUAGUACGAGAGGACCGGAGUGAACGCACCACUGGUGUUCGGGUUGUCAUGCCAAUGGCAUUGCCCGGUAGCUAAGUGCGGAAAAGAUAAGCGCUGAAAGCAUCUAAGCGCGAAACUUGCCUCAAGAUGAGUCUUCCCUGGGCCUUNAAGGCCCCUGAAGGAACGUUUAAGACUAAGACGUUGAUAGGCUGGGUGUGUAAGUGCAGCGAUGCAUUGAGCUAACCAGUACUAAUGAUCCGUGAGGCUUAACCUU
Molecule: ribosomal RNA, 2681 nt
Filed under: Serratia marcescens
Lineage: Bacteria; Pseudomonadati; Pseudomonadota; Gammaproteobacteria; Enterobacterales; Yersiniaceae
Description: 23S ribosomal RNA
Rfam family: Bacterial large subunit ribosomal RNA
Source: RNAcentral